This 441-nucleotide ribosomal RNA is filed under the name Acanthamoeba sp. RNAcentral describes it as "SSU rRNA". It matches the Rfam family "Eukaryotic small subunit ribosomal RNA", at positions 768 to 1098 of the family's 1831-position model. Lineage: Eukaryota; Discosea; Longamoebia; Acanthamoebidae. The record is from RNAcentral.
AGAGUGGUUAAGGCAGGCAGAUCCAAUUUUCUGCCACCGAAUACAUUAGCAUGGGAUAAUGGAAUAGGACCCUGUCCUCCUAUUUUCAGUUGGUUUUGGCAGCGCGAGGACUAGGGUAAUGAUUAAUAGGGAUAGUUGGGGGCAUUAAUAUUUAAUUGUCAGAGGUGAAAUUCUUGGAUUUAUGAAAGAUUAACUUCUGCGAAAGCAUCUGCCAAGGAUGUUUUCAUUAAUCAAGAACGAAAGUUAGGGGAUCGAAGACGAUCAGAUACCGUCGUAGUCUUAACCAUAAACGAUGCCGACCAGCGAUUAGGAGACGUUGAAUACAAAACACCACCAUCGGUGCGGUCGUCCUUGGCGUCUGUCCCUCUCGGCGGGCCGGAGGGCGGGUUAGGCUGAUGCCGGUGGUGACUGACUACGAAUCCGCUUGAGAUAAUGAGAAAA